CAGCAGCCGCGGGAACACGUAGGGUGCAAGCGUUAAUCGGAAUUACUGGGCGUAAAGCGUGCGCAGGCGGUUCGCUAAGACAGAUGUGAAAUCCCCGGGCUUAGCCUGGGAACUGCAUUUGUGACUGGCGGGCUAGAGUAUGGCAGAGGGGGGUAGAAUUCCACGUGUAGCAGUGAAAUGCGUAGAGAUGUGGAGGAAUACCGAUGGCGAAGGCAGCCCCCUGGGCCAAUACUGACGCUCAUGCACGAAAGCGUGGGGAGCAAACAGGAUUAGAUACCCCGGUAGUCCCUGUCUCUUAUAC
This 301-nucleotide ribosomal RNA is filed under the name uncultured bacterium. RNAcentral's name for it is "partial 16S ribosomal RNA". It matches the Rfam family "Bacterial small subunit ribosomal RNA", at positions 509 to 807 of the family's 1533-position model. The record is from RNAcentral.